GUCGGGCAUGGUGGCGCAUGCUUGUAAUCCCAGCUACUCAGGAGGCUGAGGCAGGAGAAUCGCUUGAACCCAGGAGGCAGAGAUUGCAGUGAGCCGAGAUUGGGCCACUGUACUCCAGCCUGGGUGACAAAGCAAGACUCUGUCUCAG
This 148-nucleotide non-coding RNA is filed under the name Gorilla gorilla gorilla (western lowland gorilla). The record is from Rfam by way of RNAcentral. Lineage: Eukaryota; Metazoa; Chordata; Mammalia; Primates; Hominidae.